GAUGAAGAACGCAGCAAAAUGCGAUAAGUAAUGUGAAUUGCAGAAUUCAGUGAAUCAUCGAAUCUUUGAACGCACAUUGCGCCCGCCAGUAUUCUGCGGGCAUGCCUGUUCGAGCGUCAUUUCAACCCUCAAGCACAGCUUGGUGUUGGGACUCGCGUUAAUUCGCGUUCCCCAAAUUGAUUGGCGGUCACGUCGAGCUUCCAUAGCGUAGUAGUAAAACCCUCGUUACUGGUAAUCGUCGCGGCCACGCCGUUAAACCCCAACUUCUGAAUGUUGACCUCGGAUCAGGUAGGAAUACCCGCUGAACUUAAGCAUAUCAAUAAGCGGAGGA
This 331-nucleotide unclassified non-coding RNA is filed under the name soil metagenome. RNAcentral's name for it is "partial contains 5.8S ribosomal RNA, internal transcribed spacer 2, and large subunit ribosomal RNA". The stretch from base 1 to 119 matches the Rfam family "5.8S ribosomal RNA", at positions 35 to 154 of the family's 154-position model. The record is from RNAcentral.